This 467-nucleotide ribosomal RNA is filed under the name uncultured bacterium. RNAcentral describes it as "partial 16S ribosomal RNA". It matches the Rfam family "Bacterial small subunit ribosomal RNA", at positions 28 to 506 of the family's 1533-position model. The record is from RNAcentral.
GACGAACGCUGGCGGCGUGCUUAACACAUGCAAGUCGAACGGAAAGGCCCUGCUUUUGUGGGGUGCUCGAGUGGCGAACGGGUGAGUAACACGUGAGUAACCUGCCCUUGACUUUGGGAUAACUUCAGGAAACUGGGGCUAAUACCGGAUAGGAGCUCCUGCUGCAUGGUGGGGGUUGGAAAGUUUCGGCGGUUGGGGAUGGACUCGCGGCUUAUCAGCUUGUUGGUGGGGUAGUGGCUUACCAAGGCUUUGACGGGUAGCCGGCCUGAGAGGGUGACCGGCCACAUUGGGACGGAGAUACGGCCCAGACUCCUACGGGAGGCAGCAGUGGGGAAUAUUGCACAAUGGGCGGAAGCCUGAUGCAGCAACGCCGCGUGCGGGAUGACGGCCUUCGGGUUGUAAACCGCUUUCGCCUGUGACGAAGCGUGAGGGACGGUAAUGGGUAAAGAAGCACCGGCGAACUACGU